UUCGCAAUGCCCGAAAGGGUGACGAAGCGACGCCGCGUGUGGGAAGAAGGCCUUCGGGUUGUAAACCACUGUCGGGAGUUAAGAAAUGCAAGGGUGCUAAUAGUAUCCUUGCUUGACUAAGGCUCCGGAGGAAGCCACGGCUAACUCUGUGCCAGCAGCCGCGGUAAUACAGAGGCGGCAAGCGUUGUUCGGAAUUAUUGGGCGUAAAGAGCACGUAGGCGGCUAUGUAAGUCGGUUGUGGAAGCCUUCCGCUCAACGGAAGAACAGCAUCCGAUACUGCAUGGCUUGAGUGCGGGAGGGGAGAGUGGAACUUCUGGUGGAGCGGUGAAAUGCGUAGAUAUCAGAAGGAACGCCGGCGGCGAAAGCGGCUCUCUGGCCCAUAACUGACGCUGAGUGUGCGAAAGCUAGGGGAGCAAACGGGAUUAGAUACCCCGGUAGUCCUAGCCGUAAACGAUGGGCACUAAGUAGAGGGGUUUU
RNAcentral lists this ribosomal RNA (477 nucleotides) under uncultured anaerobic ammonium-oxidizing bacterium. RNAcentral describes it as "bacterial SSU rRNA". It matches the Rfam family "Bacterial small subunit ribosomal RNA", at positions 365 to 832 of the family's 1533-position model. The record is from RNAcentral.